This 72-nucleotide transfer RNA is filed under the name Bos taurus (domestic cattle). It matches the Rfam family "tRNA". Rfam says of the family: Transfer RNA (tRNA) molecules are approximately 80 nucleotides in length. Their secondary structure includes four short double-helical elements and three loops (D, anti-codon, and T loops). RNAcentral also lists the same sequence under 5 other names. The record is from Rfam by way of RNAcentral. Lineage: Eukaryota; Metazoa; Chordata; Mammalia; Artiodactyla; Bovidae.
UCCCUGGUGGUCCAGUGGUUAAAAACCUGCUUUCCAAUGCAGGGGACACAGGUUCAAUUCCUGGUCAGGGAA